AGGAUGAACGCUGGCGGCGUGCCUAACACAUGCAAGUCGAGCGAGAAACCUAGAUUUGACACUUCGGUAGAAAAUCCAAGGUGGAAAGCGGCGGACGGGUGAGUAACGCGUAGGCAACCUGCCCUACACAGAGGGAUAGCCACUGGAAACGGUGAUUAAAACCUCAUAAAGCUAAAGAAACACAUGUAGCUAUAGCCAAAGAUUUAUCGGUGUAGGAUGGGCCUGCGUCUGAUUAGCUAGUUGGUGGGGUAACGGCUCACCAAGGCGACGAUCAGUAGCCGACCUGAGAGGGUGAACGGCCACAUUGGAACUGAGACACGGUCCAAACUCCUGCGGGAGGCAGCAGUGGGGAAUAUUGCACAAUGGGCGAAAGCCUGAUGCAGCAACGCCGCGUGAGCGAUGAAGGUCUUCGGAUUGUAAAGCUCUGUCCAAGAGGAAGAAAGAAAUGACGGUACUCUUGGAGGAAGCCCUGGCUAAAUACGUGCCAGCAGCCGCGGUAAUACGUAUGGGGCAAGCGUUAUCCGGAAUUAUUGGGCGUAAAGAGUGCGUAGGUGGUUACCUAAGCGCGGGGUUUAAGGCAAUGGCUCAACCAUUGUAUGCCUUGCGAACUGGCUACUGAGGCAGAGAGAACG
This 632-nucleotide ribosomal RNA is filed under the name uncultured Eubacterium sp. RNAcentral's name for it is "bacterial SSU rRNA". It matches the Rfam family "Bacterial small subunit ribosomal RNA", at positions 26 to 657 of the family's 1533-position model. The record is from RNAcentral. Lineage: Bacteria; Bacillati; Bacillota; Clostridia; Eubacteriales; Eubacteriaceae.